UUUAAUAAAGGUAAAAAAAAAAAGUAAAAAGGUAACUUCACACUGCUCUGCUGUAUGUUUGAGGCAUCACUUAGCAAGUUCAAGUCAACUCCCUGAAUUAUUUAAUACAGACCCGUAUGGUCACGAUGAUGGAAACAUAUCUUUCUUCUCUAACUUAUCCUCGUUCCUGAUAACAGUUUCUGGCUUUAUUUCCCUCAUAUCACCCUCAUAAUGUACAUUCUCAUCAUGUUUAAUAUUUAAUCCGCAAAUGUUUUAACGUGUAGUAAACUGUGUCAGUGUAAUAUUAAGUGUUCUUCACUUUAUGUUCGAACAACUAGGUCCGUUUAAAAGGUACGUGAUCAAAUGCGCACCUGGUUUAGACCUACGUUAGUAAGUCUUUUGGUACUUUUAAUUUAUUUAACAGAAAUAAAAGUUGUGCAUAAAUACAUGUCGUGUUUGUUUUUGUUCUUGUUGUGGUAUUGGAAUUCUGUCAACAGGGAAAAAACACGAGUCCAUAGCAGCUGUUGGUUCUGGCUCCUCGGGUCCGUGUGAGAUGGUUCCAGGCUGAUGUUCCCAUUAUAGUUGGAUGAGAGAUGUUUCACUGAAGUGUUGAAUUCCCUUCCCCUUUGAGUAUAAAACCAUCCCCUUGGAUAUCCUUUGUCUGUUUCUCUCUAUUUGUCGCGUCUGAGUCCAGUUCGAAACAGACCAGAACCGGUGCCAUGGCCAUGCUCAGAGUGUCGUCGUAUCGUCGGCUGUUCGAGGACGGUAUCUGGGGCAGAAAAGGAGGGAUGAACUUGCAGUCUGCCGGGUUGUAUCGGGCCAAGAGGUCUGCUGCUGCUGCUGACGACUGUGACUGUGAUAAACUGGACUUCGGUGCUGCCAAAGCUCUGAACCUUGAGGGUCUGACUCGGUUCGUCCAGGAACGUUCUGAUCUGGCCUCCCUGAACAAUCGUCUGGUCAGCUUGAUCGAGUUGGCUCGUUGCUUCGAGCAAGAGAAUAAAUCUCUGGAAUGUCAGAUUGUGGAGCUGGAGGAGAAGUUCAAGCCUGGACCUGCUUCCUCCUCUCGUGUUCUCUACGCUGGGCCUCCAGCUCAGCCCAGUCUGGACGCUGUGGUGGAGAGGUUGCGUCAAGAAAAGGAUGAGAUUCUGUGCGACUCUGAGGAGCUACAGAAAGAACUCCUUCGUCUGCAGGACCAGUAUGAGAAAGUUGCUCAGCAAAGAAUUUUCUACCAGCAGCAGCGACAAGACAUUUCACAGGAAGUUGAUACGGUGACAGCCGAGUGUUUGGCGUUGAGAGAGCAGGCGAACAUAUAUGAGGAGCAACUCGCCAACAUGGAGGAACAGCACAGAACGGAGGUGGAGGAUCUUCUUGAACCGUCCGAGGAGACCAUAGCAGCAGCAGCAAGAGCAGGAGCAGGAUUCAAAGGGCCUGAUGUGACUCCUGCCCUGUUAUUGAAAGAGUUUUACUGUGCGUUGUCUGAGAAUCUGCAGUCGGAAUGUGCUGAAGGAUUCUCCGUACCUGCUGCGAUUCUCACCGGUGAAGGAGGAAAAUUACAGCAGGCUGGAAAAAUGACGGCUUCACCGGUUAAGGAAUUGACAAAACCAGAGAACAUCGAUGAGUUAAAACGUCUGAUCGCAGAUCUACAACAGGAGCAGUCGGAGCUGGAGAACUGUAACGCUGAGCUGGAGGACGAGGUGGAGAUGAAAAGGGCUAGGUUUCAGGAGGAGAUUUCUGAGCUGAAGAUGACUCUCAGUGAAAUGCAACAGAAGGAGGUGGAUCUCCAGGCUCAGAUCAAGGAGCAGUGUGAGGACUACCAGCAGUUGCUCUCUGAGAAGAUGGCCAGAGACCUGGAGAUCCUUGCCUACAGGAGUUUGGUGAUGGAAGAGGAAACCCGGUUGUGUUCCCUGUGAACGAGGUCUACAAAUCCGGAGGCUUCAGUUUUGGCUUAAAGUUCCAACACAAGCACACGAAUCUAAAAAGAUUUUCAAGGAAAACCCAGAAUCGGAGCUGUUGUUUUGGCUAAUACCUCGUUGUCGUGUUUGUCCCAGCAGAACGUGUUAUUAACAAGCGAGGCUGAACUGACUGAAACUAGAGGGAAGAGGACAGGUAUUCUGGAUCCAUGUCAACAGAUCACUGAGGGACGACAUUGACACUGGAAGGGAGGAGCCUAGUUGGAUAUCUUCCACUGAGGUUUUGCAGGUUUUUUCGUUACCGAGUGCAGCAGAGAUGUGUGCUCUGAAUGAAGAUUGGCAGCAGCUGGCUGAUAAAUCCUGACUGAAACCUUCUCAUUUCCUGAACCUGCGUCAGUGGAAUCAGACUCUCUUGAGCUCGGUCAGUUCUCCGAGAGAGAAAACACAAAUCAACGCUGCGGUGUUUGUGACAGCGUGUCUUUGUUCUCCUGUUCUGUCACGGCCCUGCAGUCUCCGAGGGUUUCCGCAAUACCGACAAUACUGUAGACCUGAGAGUGUGCUGACAGCCCUGACCCAGAGUUCACCUCCACCCUGACCCAGAGCAGGUGAUAAACAGCAGCAGCAGCAGCGGCGGCGGCAGAGUUUCAUCUUUAUCCUGACACCUCUGGUCCAACUCCUGGUCUUCAGAAUAUCAGGAGAUGAAGUGAAGCACUUAGGUUUUAAUUUCCCUGCAGUCCAAACACUCGGCGAUUCUGUCCAAGCUGCAGUUUUCUCUGUCCCCGAAAGAUUUAACUUCAUAAAAACAGUGAGAGUCGGAGUCGAUGGAGGUUCAAAAAGUCUGGACUUUAGGGAAAUACCAGGAAAAACAGACUCUGUGUUUAGAACGCUGUAGUUUUUUGGGUAAAUAAAACUUGAAGUGCCCUUAGUCCUCAAGACGGGGUCAGGAGUGAGAGAGACUGAGUUAGAAAGAUGAAAAAUGCCAAAAGGAUUGUUCUGAAAUGACUCCUCAAAAACAUUUAAGCAAGUACAAAAAAAUGCAAUUCCUUUACCGUUAGAAUCUCAUGCCAUGCAACAUCUUGUUUUUUUCCCAUUUUUUUCCUCAUAUUUUUAUUUUGUAUUUUUCAAUUUCUUUUUUCAUAUUUUUAUUUUGUAUUUUUCAAUUUCUUUUUUUCAUAUUUUGAAGUAGCCUGAAGUAGCCUGGCUCAAAUAGUGGGAAGGGCCCCGGUGAGGUGCCGAGGGGCCACAGGGAUUGAGGGGGCGGGGAGGAUCAGAUGGCAUGUUGGACAGCAGUGUGCCGCUGUUGUAAUGCUUGAACGAUAAACAAGCCUCCAGUCCACUAGGUGGCAGCGACUCAUACAGGGGUUUGUACAGAUAAGAAAAUACGUAUUAUCGGAUUCUCAAUAGUAUUUUGAUAUGGGGUGAGGACAGUAAAACCUUUAUUGUACCAAGGUCAGCUAGUGGUUAAAUUUUCAAAAUAAAACAUCUUUUAGUCUUUCUUCUGUUAGCAUCAGAGUCUGAAUGUCCUGUUGUUUUGAAACAUAGAUUAUCUUUGAAUAAAAAAAGUAAAGCGAUACGACUGGAUUCUUUUUGA
Cynoglossus semilaevis (tongue sole) is the source of this 3480-nucleotide RNA transcript. It is a transcript of the gene named vimentin-related 2, with no coding region annotated. The transcript has 12 exons. NCBI's taxonomy places the organism in Eukaryota, Metazoa, Chordata, Actinopteri, Pleuronectiformes, Cynoglossidae. The record is from RefSeq and is a predicted model, not a curated record.